Suricata suricatta (meerkat) is the source of this 634-nucleotide long non-coding RNA. RefSeq lists it as uncharacterized. The transcript is spliced from 2 exons. The record is from RefSeq and is a predicted model, not a curated record. NCBI's taxonomy places the organism in Eukaryota, Metazoa, Chordata, Mammalia, Carnivora, Herpestidae.
AACUAACUGAACACCCAGGGACCCCUGGCAGGCUCAUUUCCAACUUUGAUAUUUGAGCUCAAAAGUCACCUCCCUGGAGAGGCCUUCCUUGACCACUUAAUCUAAAAGAUUCUACAUAAUGAACACACAGAAACAGGCUUAACAAUUGGGUGUCGAUUUUAUUAGCCUACAACUGCCUCAUUAACCCCAGUUUUGCCUGCAUCCUCUGCGAUCUGGUCCUCCCAUGGCCUUAGGCUUCUGUGUGCUCUUUGGACAGCAAGCUGUGACACACCAAAGUUGCAAGAGCAGUCGGCAUGGAAAGAGAUUUCCAGCGGCUUCAGCAUAAUGCACACCUUGACUGCAGCUGGCACAGAGCAGCACAGGCCACAAGAACGUGCAGGGGGCCGUGUGACAAAAGCCAUAAGCCCUGAUAGCAGGGGAGCAGAGCUGCUGCUAUAGGAGGGAAACUACAGGGUGCACAAGAGCAGCGGCACAGCAGUCAGUGGAAUGAAGAGAGCCCGCUCAGACUGCAGAUGUCUAGAGAUGGAACCAGAAGCACGUUACCUAGCUAAUGCCCUCUCUCACCCCCUCUGAGAGCUCAGUUUCCUCAUUUGGGGAAAGGGUAGAAUAAAAGCACCCACUUCAUGGUAUUGUA